Molecule: long non-coding RNA, 5901 nt
Filed under: Gossypium barbadense (sea-island cotton)
Lineage: Eukaryota; Viridiplantae; Streptophyta; Magnoliopsida; Malvales; Malvaceae
Description: long non-coding RNA (GBAR_LNC004547)
Source: RNAcentral
UGUCUUUUCACAUCACCGACCUAACCAUUAAUGAUAGCAGGUUUUCAAUAAUGACUUUUAAUUUUUUCUACUACCUCUUCUCAAAAGCUUUCAUUUUCCCUUUCAUUCAAUCCGGAUACCUUGGCCGAAAAUUCUCCAGUGCUUGACGAACACAUUCUGGAAUUCUUCCCACCAAGUAAUAACUUUCUCUCUUCUUUAGGGCCUCAUUUGCAAUAACAUGGGCGUAUAUAUUCCCUGUUUUAGAGACAAAAUGAAACUCAAUCUCCUGAAAUUUGUCUUUUUUGCUUUGUAUAUCUUUGGUAAUUGCUCCAAUGGCCGAUUUACCUAUAUCAGUACUUUGGCAUUUCUUUAUAACAGUUUUUGAAUCUCCCACUACUUCCAUUUUGUUAAAGCCCAUAAAAAUUCCUAAUUUCAUUGCCUGUAACCCUACAUGUGCCUCUGCCGUGAACAGAGUUGCUAUCUCGGAGUGAAAAACCGUCUUUGAUGCUAGGAUCUCCCCCACUUCAUUUCGUACAACCAGGCCUGUAGUUGAUCUGGAAGAUUGAUGGUCAAAGGCUGCGUCAAAAAGAACUGUGACCCUUGUUCUUUGAUAAUCCUGUUGAAUAUUUCCAUCAGACUGAAGGGUGAGUUUUUUUUCUCUUUUGUUGCAUCCAACUCUAUGAUAUAACUUUGAACUUGCUUAGAUAUUUCUCUUCUUUUCACAUUUUUUCUUUCAUAUAACAAAUGAUUUCUGUUGGACCAGAUUAACCAGAGUCCACAGCAGAAUAAUCGGACCUGUUCAUUAGUCUCCUUACAGAAGACCCAGGUAAGCCAUUCCCACAUAUUUUGAGUAUUUUUAUUUAGUACCCAUGAUAGAUUGAAAUGAUUCCAAACCUCAACCAUUGUAGGGCACUAUUGAAAAAUAUGGCUACUGUCUUCCUCAUUUUGACGACAUUGAGGGCACUGAUCUUCCACCACGACUCUUUUAUGUCUGAGGUUAACAAGGGACAAAAUAAAGUUCCAAGAGAUUCUCCAUACUGUAAUUAUAAUUUUUGAGGGGAUGUAUAAUUUCCAUAGUUUCCUAUAGAAAUUUUUAGUUCGGCGUGUAAACUAUAACUACUAGGAUCCAAGUUAGUCUCCUGUAAUAGUUUAUAGGUGCUCCUGACUUAGAAAUCCCUGGACAGUUCCCUUCUCCAUACUUGAAAAUCUUCAUGUGCUGUCUCCGCCAGUGGAAUCUGCAAGAUUUUUUUGCUACAUCCAAUCGAAAGGUAUUCAUAACUACCUUUAUUUUCCAGCUCCUAUUGGUGGCCUCUAUUAAAUCCGAAAUAAACUUAAUAUUUUCAUUGUUGUCUUGAUUUUGUAAAUGUCUGCUUUAUUUCCUAAAAUCCACAAAUCAUUCCAAACAGAAAUUUUAUCACCUCUUUCUACCCUCUAGCAUAAACCUUUCUCCAGAAGCCCUCUUGCUGCCCAGACACUCUUCCAAGUAAGCGAAGGUAAAUUUCCUAACCGAGCAUUAUAGAAUUCCAAAUUAGGAUAAUAUUUUACCUUUAGAACACGGGCUAAUAAUGAAUUUGGAUAGUUUAUAAGACGCCAUCCCUACUUUGCUCAUAACGCUAUAUUAAAUUUUGCAAGAUUUUAAAAACCAAGACUACCGUCUUCUUUUAAUAAGCAUAAUUCCUUCCAAGCACACCAAUGAAUGCCCUUCCUAUCGCGACUUCUUUGCCACAAAAAAUAAGCUAUUAUACACUCCAAAUCAGCACAUAGAGACUUAGGAAGUAGAAAGCAAGCCAUCGUAUAAGUUGGGAUGGAUUGGAGUAUAGCCUUUACGAAAACUUCUUUACCUUAUUAAGAGAGAUGCCUUAUGCUCCAGUUAUUAAUUCGUUGUUUAUAUCUGUCCUUCAAAGCUUGAAAUGUUGAUCUCUUCCUUCUUCCCACCAUAUUAGGGAGCCCUAGAUAUCGUUCUGGAUUAGUUGAUCUUCUUACUCUGAGUAUACUUGAAACUCCUGCCAUUUCUCCAUCUUGUGUGUUUGUGCUGAAAAGUACUGUCGAUUUAUCAUAAUUAACACAUUGGCUUGAACAAAUCUCAUAUUCUUUCAAAAUCUAUUUUAAUGAAUGUGUUCUCCUUUCAGUAGCUUCUGCAAAUAAAAUGCAAAUGUCUGCAAAGAGUAAAUGUGAGAUAGCUAUGCCACUUCGACUUGUUUUUACUCCUUUAAGUAUAUCUCCUUCUAUUGCGGGCUUCAUAAAACUAGAGAGACCUUCCCCACAAAAUAAGAACAAAAUCAGACUUAAAGGAUCUCAUUGUCUAAAACCUCUAGUUGGAUGAAAAGUUUCCCCUAUGUUUCCAUUGAAAACCACUAAAUAUGAUACUGUAGACCCACAUUUCAUUAUCGAGUCAACCCAUGCUGGAUUAAAUCCCAUUUUCUUCAUUAUCCCUUCCACAAAAUUCCAUUCGACUCUAUCGUAUGCCUUACUUAUAUCUAGUUUCACCGUCAUAAGUCCGUUUUUCCCCAUCUUCUUAUGUUUUAAAGUGUGUAAGAUUUCAUAAGCCAGUAAUAUAUUAUCAAAAAUCAGCCUUCUUGGUACAAAAGCACUUUGUGCUACAUCUAUACAUUUAUUAAUCACUACCCGAAGCCGAAUAUCUAUGACCUUAGCUAUCAAUUUAUAAAGCACAUUGCAUAAGCUAAUUGGUCUAAAUUGAGUAAUAUUAGAAGGAUUAAGAAUUUUUGGGAUUAGCACGAUAUUUGUUUUGUUGAUCGAGCGUAUUUCUAUACCUUCAUUCAGUCCUUGAAGGCAAAAAGUUGAAACAUCCUCUCCAAUGAUCGACCAACAUUUUUGACAAAAUAAAGUUGGAAAACCGUCAUUUCCUGGUGCUUUUGUAGGGCCUAGUUUUGAUAAAGCUUAUCGUAUCUCCUCUUAAGUGUAGCUUGCUUUUAAUCUAUAAUUAUCAUCCUCAGAAAUACAACAAUCAACUCCUAACAAUAUUUGAUCAUAAUUUCCUUGCCUUUCUACUGAAAAUAACUUCUAAAAAUACGAUCUUACGAUUUCUUCCAUCUCCUCGACCUCUUUCGUCUCCCUGCCAUCUUCGAAUUACAUUUUAUGGAUAAAAUUCCUCUUCUUUCUUUGCGUUGCUUGCUUAUGGAAAAACGCGGUAUUUUUUCUCCAAACUUUAGCCAAUUUAUUCGAGCCUUCUUUUCCUAAUAACAUUCGUCCUUCUCUAUCUCAAAAUUCAAUUGGAUCUUUGUAUUUAAAAGCUCUGCCAAAUUUUCUUCACUUCUAUCAUAUUCCAGUAACGUUGUUAGUUUUGAAGUUAGUAUCUCUUUUUUCAUUUUUCUACUUCGUUGAAUUUGGCUUGCCUAUCUCUCUAAGCCCCUCUUCAUAUAUUUUAGCUUGCUCAAAAGAUCUCCUAUGGAAUUUUCCCAAAUACACCUAAACUCCUCAAUAAGCAUUACCUUCAAAACCCACCAAGCUUCAAACUUAAAAUUUUUAUUAAUCUGCUCUAGCUUUGCACUCUGUAUUAAUGAGUAAUGGACAAUGAUCUGAGAAGGAGUGAGGUAGGUUGUAACAGCCCGAUUUUGGGCCUAAAAUAGUGGUUUUGAAACCACUAAUCCAAGGCCAGAGAAAUUAUUUUUAAUAGUAUUUUAUGUGUUAUAGCACGUUUACAUGGAUGCAUAAAAAUUUUGAUGAAUUAAUUUAAGCGAUUGUGAGCUUAAUUGCGAAAAAGGACUAAAUCGCAUAAAGGACAAAAGUUUUGUUUUUCUAACAAAUGGUGUUAAAUAAUUAGAGAAUCAUAAUUAGGGGUCUUUAAAGGGAAAAUAGACCCAUUUCAAUAGGGGUGGCCGGCCAUAGGGACAAAGAAGAAUAGAAAAUUCAAAAUUAGGUGAAGUUGGUAACCUAUUUUGACUAGAAAUAAGAUAAAAUAAAAUAAAAGGGCUUCAUCUUUUUACCAUUCAUCCUCUCCACCAAAAAUAUCAGUAAGAAAGGGUUUUUUGAAGCUUGAAACUUUCAGCCAUUAAGUUCUCUCAUAAGUAAGUCAUUUUGAUGACUUUUCUUGAUAAUUUUUGUAUUUUUGGGACCCUUGUAGAUUAAUCUAGCUAAUGGGGGGAUUAUUUUGCAAUAUGGUUGAGAGUUUAGGGUUUUGCCAUGAAAGAAUUUAUGUUAUGAGCUGAAACUUUAUGGAAGGAAAUGAGUUAUAGUUAUGAAAUAAAUAACUCUUGUGAAGUGGUGUUCAUGAAAAACAUCUAAAGUGAACCUUUUUGUAAAGGUUAUAAAAUAGGUAGUAAUUGUGUGAAAGAAUCGAAAUUGGGAGAUGCCAUAAGUUUAAUAAAGGUUCAGCUAGGCUUGGUUAAAUAGGAAAUUUGAUAAAAAUUAAUUUACGAGCCUAAGGGUAAAAUCAUAAUUUUGUGAAAGUCUAGGGGCAGAGUGGUUAAUUUGCCAAAAUAUGAAUUAUGAAAUGCAUUGAUUAAUAUGAUGAUUAAAUCAGUGAAUUUUUAUCAUUUUAGAUCAAGAAAUACAAAAUCCGGGGCUAGACCGGGGGAAGGCCAAGCUAGUAGACUAAAUCCAACUAGUCACCCACUUUUUGUAUACCGAGGUAAGUUGCAUGCAAAUAUUACAACUCUAUUGUUAUUAUGCAUUAAAUUAUCAAUAUUACAUGAAAUGCUCGAUUUUGUUACGAAUAUACAUGACGAAAUUUGAUGUGGUGAGACUCCCUGUUGAACCGUAAGAAUAGAUCGGAUAUCUAUGCCAUGAUACUAGGGUUAUGUGAGCCAGUGUAAGCCAUGUUUGGAAUAUGGCAUCGGCAUUGAUAUGAGAGCUAAUGUAAGACUAUGUAUGGGACAUGGUAUCGGCCUCGAUAUGUGAGCCAGUGUAAGACCAUGUUUGGAACAUGGCAUCGACAUUGAUAUGAGAGCUAGUGUAAGACCAUGUCUGGGACAUGGCAUUGGCCUUGACAUGUGAGCUAGUGUAAGACCAUGUUUGGAACAUGGCAUGGCAUUGAUAUAUGAGAGCCAGUGUAAGACCAUGUCUGGGACAUGGCAUCGACAUCUUACCCUUUUGUAUGAGGCUUAUCGGGUAUCCAUUUACUAUUCCAACCAGUUCAACGAGUAAUUUAAAGAUUACAUCAUGAUUGAGAAAAGUUAAGAUUACGUUGCAAGUGAUACAAAUACUUAUAUGAAACUCAUGAGAAUGAGCUCGAGUUAUGUAUAUGAAUAGUAAGGAUGAAAUGAGUAAUUUAUGUCUAUGGUCAUUCAAGAAACUUGUGCAAGUGUAUGAUGUGUUAUGAGUAUGAUGUUACUUGGUAAAGCAAUGUUAAUUAUUUACUUGUAACUUACUAAGCGUUAUGCUUAUUCCCUCUCUUUUCUAUUUUCUUAUAGUGCCUCCAAGCUAGCAUCGGGAAUCAAGGGACGUCAGACGCAUUAGUCACAUUAUCACCUGAAGCUUUUGGUAUAGUUAGUUUAAAUGUUUUGAGUGUGGCAAGUAAAGGGACUUAUUCUUUUUGUUUAGUGUCAUUUAGUUUAGCCACAAGUGUUGGCUUAUAUGGAUGUGAUAUUCAUUUUGUAUAGGCCAUUGAUAUUGGCUAAUAUUGAUUACUAUUAAAUCUAUUUGAUGAAAAUUCUCAUGGAUGUGGAUGUUUCGUUGUGGCUGUUUUGGUUAUGUGUGUUUAUGCUUGGAUUGGAGAUGUUUGAUGUUUUGUAGGUUGGUGCAAGUAAGGGUAGCAAAAAGGCUAGGUAGAUAGCCUUGUUUUUGUCCACGUGGGUAGACACUAAACUGUGUGUGACACACGGUUUGCCCCAUAGGCGUGUAGUCAGGCCGUUUGUCCCCUGCACCUAAAUUUUGCAAAACAAAAUGCCCAGUAAUAACCACACGGGCAAAGACAUGGCCAUGUGUCCCAAUCGUGUGGAGGACAUAGCCUAGUACAUGGGCGUG